CCUACGGGAGGCAGCAGUGAGGAAUAUUGGUCAAUGGACGAGAGUCUGAACCAGCCAAGUAGCGUGAAGGAUGACUGCCCUAUGGGUUGUAAACUUCUGUUAUAGGGGAAUAAAAUGUUCCACGUGUGGGAUUUUGUAUGUACCAUAUGAAUAAGGAUAGGCUAACUCCGUGCCAGCAGCCGCGGUAAUACGGAGGAUCCGAGCGUUAUCCGGAGGUAUGGGGUUUAAAGGGUGCGUAGGUGGAUUGUUAAGUCAGUUGUGAAAGUUUGCGGCUCAACCGUAAAAUUGCAGUUGAAACUGGCAGUCUUGCGUACAGUCGAGGUGGGCGGAAUUCGUGGUGUAGCGG
This 346-nucleotide ribosomal RNA is filed under the name uncultured bacterium. RNAcentral describes it as "partial 16S ribosomal RNA". It matches the Rfam family "Bacterial small subunit ribosomal RNA", at positions 338 to 681 of the family's 1533-position model. The record is from RNAcentral.